GUUCUGGGCUCCCGCCGGCCGCUCCCCCGUCACUGCCCUGUGCCUUUCAGGUCCUGGAGCGCCUGAACCUGAGUGAAUGCCGUGACAGCGUCCUGGAGUUCUUGUCAAAGAACCUGCAGAGCGAGUGCAGGGGGAGGCGUCGCUUGGCACUCAGAGGCCUCGUGGUGCUCGGCACCACCAGUGCCUCGAUGGCCAGAAGGAUGUGGAGCCUGCAUGAAAGGCUCGUGGAGCUCCUGCAGGAAAAUGACGGCGUCAUGCUCAGGAUGACCACGGUUCUCCUCAGGGGUUUAUUUCUCUGCAAUGGUGCCCCAAUAACCAGCGCCCUCGCCCUGCAGCUGGCUGAGGCGCUCCUGCCACUCUUUGACAACGAGGAUAGCCAGGUGCAGUUGAGCUCCAUGUUUAUCUUCCGAGACAUGCUGGAUCGUUUUCCGGAAGAGGAAAAAAAGGCCCUGAAGGAACACGUGCGCCAGAGCCUGCUGCCACUCUCCUUCCACUGCCAUGAUGAGAACCAGCGAGUGGCAGAGGUGAGGACUCGGCA
This 538-nucleotide long non-coding RNA is filed under the name Taeniopygia guttata (zebra finch). RNAcentral's name for it is "lncRNA (ENSTGUG00000022448.1)". The record is from RNAcentral. Lineage: Eukaryota; Metazoa; Chordata; Aves; Passeriformes; Estrildidae.